CGAGCGGAUUGAUAGGGAGCUUGCUCCCAUCAAUCAGCGGCGGACGGGUGAGUAACACGUGGGUAACCUGCCUGUAAGACUGGGAUAACUCCGUAAAACCGGGGCUAAUACCGGAUAACUCAUUUCCUCGCAUGAGGAAAUGUUGAAAGGUGGCUUUUAGCUAUCACUUACAGAUGGACCCGCGGCGCAUUAGCUAGUUGGUGAGGUAACGGCUCACCAAGGCGACGAUGCGUAGCCGACCUGAGAGGGUGAUCGGCCACACUGGGACUGAGACACGGCCCAGACUCCUACGGGAGGCAGCAGUAGGGAAUCUUCCGCAAUGGACGAAAGUCUGACGAAGCAACGCCGCGCGAAAGAUGAGGGUUUUCGGAUCGAAAAACUCUGUGGUAAGGGAAGAACAAUUACGGUUCAAGAAGGAGGGCCACUUUGAGGGGCACUACAAAAAAACCGCGGGCUAAUAAAAGGCAACAGCCGGGGUAAAAUGUAAGUUGGCAGACGAUUGCCCGAAAUAUUUGGGUUAAAGGGCCUAAGAUGGUGGAU
RNAcentral lists this ribosomal RNA (540 nucleotides) under Bacillus sp. (in: firmicutes). Its description in RNAcentral is "bacterial SSU rRNA". It matches the Rfam family "Bacterial small subunit ribosomal RNA", at positions 63 to 583 of the family's 1533-position model. The record is from RNAcentral. Lineage: Bacteria; Bacillati; Bacillota; Bacilli; Caryophanales; Bacillaceae.